This is a long non-coding RNA of Triticum aestivum (bread wheat), 2173 nucleotides long. RefSeq lists it as uncharacterized. The transcript has 4 exons. NCBI's taxonomy places the organism in Eukaryota, Viridiplantae, Streptophyta, Magnoliopsida, Poales, Poaceae. The record is from RefSeq and is a predicted model, not a curated record.
UGUAUAGCUUCUGUACCUAUGUACGUAUAUGGUACAUAUUGUAACACAACCAUUAUAUAUAAUGAGAUAAGCCACCCCUAGAGGGUUGUGCUGGUUCCCCAAAACUUAUUGUCUUACACCCACAAGGCCACAACGGCAAUAUGGGUUGCUGCUCACCGUCGCGCCGCCACCUUCUCUGACUGUGAUGGCCACCAAAGGAUUGACGCCAAUGAUCCUCAACAGCCACCUUCUACCCAUUUGCCGCUGAUAUAGAUGUUUUUUAAUUGCUUGAAAAACUGCAACAUAACCCACUAUACAUCAGUGUUUGCUUGCUCUAAACUUUUAGUUCUCCAUCUGGUUCUUCAGUUAUGUUGAUUGCAGACAAACAGCUGUCAAUUUCAUGUGGCCCAAAAGGGCCCCUUCUCGUGCGGUUACAUCACACGCAAGGAGGAGUAGAGGAAGUAUGUAGGUUGCACUUCUAUUAAGAAACUAUCAGCGUGAACCGCUGGACUUAAACUGCCAAAUAUGUUCUUGAUCACCAACAGAAAAUCUCUUGUCAACUGAUAGAUCCCUGAACUUGAGAUAUUGGGAAAACACUUGUAGAAACUCUUUAGAUCUGGAGAAGAGAAAUGAAGAGCUCUAUAGCUGAACAAGGAUCAUCGUUUGGCACAGAUUACGACGAGUGCGAAGGUGAAUUCUACGAGGAGGUAGAACCUUGUGACUGCAAAAUCGAAGGCAAGUUGCAAAUUGAUCAUGCUUUGACCUAUGUUUUCAUAUUAUGCAUAAUCUUUUGUAUUUUAAUGCUAUGCAUGUUUUACAAAAGUUUUACAAAGUAUUAUUACUAACUAGAGCCAUAGGUUCAAGACUUGCAACAAUGCUUGGCCACGCUUGCACAAAAUGGGUGGGAUGAAAACCAAAAUUGUUUUGAACCUUUAAACUUGCCUAUUUUGGGGCAACGUUUUGUGAAAACUAUUGAGAAACAAAACUAUAUAUUAUUUUAUCUUCUACUCCCUGGACGAAAUGGUAUUGACGGGAGCGUCUACCAGUGAUUGCACCCAUCAGGGUCUUGCAGUGAAUGCGCCCGACUGGGGUCUUGCACACAGGUUUUUGGUGCGGACUGCCGUCCAGGGGAAUGAGAUCUUGCAAAUACAGUUUGAUGUAGCUUCUAGUACAGCCACAUGCUACUAUGGGCUUUGGCUUAGCUUAGUACUAACCGGAAACCCUUACCUCAGGACCGCCAUCGGAGAGGGGCUUUCAUUGCCUAAGUUGCGGGUGGCUUGGUCAGAUAUAGGGGCUUGUUACGGAAAGGCUUCGUCACAAUCUCCUCCUAGUCGUACACCCAAGUGUGUAACGGUAAACGGGGUUGGUUGUGUCAUGUGGGGAACGUGUACAGCCUCUGCAGAGGGUUAGACCUAAUCGAUUAGCCGUGCCCCCGGUUACGGAAAAUUUUGAGCAACUGAAGACUUGGACUGAAGAAGAAUCUCCCCUCUCUUUUCUAAAAGUUUGUUUUAAGGGAAGGGAAGGUUGAGGAACGAGCACAGUGAAUGUGUUUCACUUCAACCAUAUUUAUGUUUUACCAAAAUUUGGAGAAUAGGCACUGGUGCGUAUAUUCAUGUGUCUCACUCCUACCUUUUAUACUAAAAACAUUUCUUUUUCAAAAGGAGUUUAUAAAAUUUAGUAUAGGAGAAAAUUGGCUUUAUGCAAAGCAAACCUCCAUCAAUACUACCCUGCAUAUAUAUUCUGUUAAAUUUCUUUUGCAAUUUGCGAGUACAUUCCACGUACUCACCUACACCUAUCAUGUGCAGAUCUCAAUAGAUUAAGAGACGAUAGGGUUAUGGUCUACACUCAACGAGCCCAGUGGCGUUGAUGGAGCCCUAACUUAGCGACUACGUAUUAUUCCGUUGUAUUAUGUGCCAGCAUUGACUUGUGCCAAUGGUAUGUAUUUGCUUAAUUCUGGAUCUUCCGUUGUAGAAAAAUGAUGUAUGCUUUAAUGAUAUUCAUUCUUGUUACUGUGUGUGCUAACUAUGAUCCAGGGAUAGCAUAGUAAACACAGAGACUUGGAUUCUACCAAAUCCGGGUCGUGACAAGGCCCUUCAUGGAGGGAAGUAGGGAUUUGUAGAGGUACCAGAGAUCAAAGCUUAAAUUGAGAGAUUAAAACAGUUUUGAGAGGCAUACUUUUCCCACCAACAAAAAU